UUCGGCCAAAUCACGUUGAAACACCAAUUCUCGUCAGAUCACCGUAGUUAAGGAAUGUUGAGCCUGGUGGUAUUUAGAUGGGUUCCCGCUUGGGAAUAUCGAGUGAGGU
Non-coding RNA from Acanthosepion pharaonis, 109 nucleotides. The record is from the annotation of a GenBank genome assembly. NCBI's taxonomy places the organism in Eukaryota, Metazoa, Mollusca, Cephalopoda, Sepiida, Sepiidae.